This is a small nuclear RNA of Pseudophryne corroboree (corroboree frog), 182 nucleotides long. RefSeq annotates it as U2 spliceosomal RNA. The transcript has a single exon. The record is from RefSeq and is a predicted model, not a curated record. Lineage: Eukaryota; Metazoa; Chordata; Amphibia; Anura; Myobatrachidae.
AUCGCUUCUCCGCCUUUUGGCUAAGAUCAAGUGUAGUAUCUGUUCUAAUCCGUUUAAUAUCUGAUACACCCCCUAUCUGGGGGCCAUAUAUUAAAUUGAUUUUUAGAACAGGAAGAUUGAUUGCUCCGUCCACUCCACACAUAGACCCUGUAUUGUAGUACCUCAGGGACCAUGGGUCAGCU